GAUGAACGCUGGCGGCGUGCCUAAUACAUGCAAGUCGAGCGAACGGACGAGAAGCUUGCUUCUCUGAUGUUAGCGGCGGACGGGUGAGUAACACGUGGAUAACCUACCUAUAAGACUGGGAUAACUUCGGGAAACCGGAGCUAAUACCGGAUAAUAUUUCGAACCGCAUGGUUCAAAAGUGAAAGACGGUCUUGCUGUCACUUAUAGAUGGAUCCGCGCUGCAUUAGCUAGUUGGUAAGGUAACGGCUUACCAAGGCAACGAUGCAUAGCCGACCUGAGAGGGUGAUCGGCCACACUGGAACUGAGACACGGUCCAGACUCCUACGGGAGGCAGCAGUAGGGAAUCUUCCGCAAUGGGCGAAAGCCUGACGGAGCAACGCCGCGUGGGUGAUGAAGGUCUUCGGAUCGUAAAACUCUGUUAUUAGGGAAGAACAUAUGUGUAAGUAACUGUGCACAUCUUGACGGUACCUAAUCAGAAAGCCACGGCUAACUACGUG
This 497-nucleotide ribosomal RNA is filed under the name uncultured bacterium. RNAcentral describes it as "partial 16S ribosomal RNA". It matches the Rfam family "Bacterial small subunit ribosomal RNA", at positions 28 to 507 of the family's 1533-position model. The record is from RNAcentral.